AGAGUUUGAUCCUGGCUCAGAACGAACGCUGGCGGCAGGCUUAACACAUGCAAGUCGAACGAUAUAGUGGCAGACGGGUGAGUAACACGUGGGAAUUUACCUAUCGGUACGGAACAGCUCAGGGAAACUUGGAUUAAUACCGUAUACGUCCUUCGGGAGAAAGAUUUAUCGCCGAUAGAUAAGCCCGCGGUGGAUUAGCUAGUUGGUGUGGUAAAGGCUCACCAAGGCGACGAUCCAUAGCUGGUCUGAGAGGAUGAUCAGCCACACUGGGACUGAGACACGGCCCAGACUCCUACGGGAGGCAGCAGUGGGGAAUAUUGGACAAUGGGGGAAACCCUGAUCCAGCCAUGCCGCGUGAGUGAUGAAGGCCCUAGGGUUGUAAAGCUCUUUCAACGGUGACGAUAAUGACGGUAGCCGUAGAAGAAGCCCCGGCUAACUUCGUGCCAGCAGCCGCGGUAAUACGAAGGGGGCAAGCGUUGUUCGGAUUUACUGGGCGUAAAGAGCACGUAG
This 510-nucleotide ribosomal RNA is filed under the name uncultured Alphaproteobacteria bacterium. Its description in RNAcentral is "bacterial SSU rRNA". It matches the Rfam family "Bacterial small subunit ribosomal RNA", at positions 8 to 574 of the family's 1533-position model. The record is from RNAcentral. Lineage: Bacteria; Pseudomonadati; Pseudomonadota; Alphaproteobacteria.